Long non-coding RNA from Oncorhynchus tshawytscha (Chinook salmon), 868 nucleotides. NCBI's taxonomy places the organism in Eukaryota, Metazoa, Chordata, Actinopteri, Salmoniformes, Salmonidae. The record is from Ensembl.
GAAGGCUCAAGGUCAUUGGCCACAGAUAAAAUGAUGUCAAAUCACGAUAUAUCUACCAUAGCUUUGAUUGGACUGAUCAUGUCAACAUCAUACUUUCAAAAUCUUAGCUAGCAAGCUAGACAAGCAAUCUUCAUCAUGAAUCAAGUCGACAAUCUACUAGCAAAUCCUUUUCAAGCCUUGUCUGGACUUGGAGACUUUGAAGAGACCCUGGUGGCAUGUCUUGUGGGCAGCCUGUGCUGGUGAAAGAAAAAUAAUCACCAUGUCAAUGUCACUGGGCUACAGAGUCUGCCUCCAACAUAGCAACUAGCUGCUGGUUGGCUGCCAGUUAGUGAGCUCUCGCCAUUUCAUUGGUGGACCAGGCUGAUGUGGAAUGGGAGAGGCAGACGGAGACAGAGGGAAGAGGGCCGUCAUUGGCUGUGGAAACCUGAAGGAGAAUAGCUCAAUUGCCAACGCCUGAGAGCAGGUUUGAUGGUGUAUUUUAGGUGUGACUAUAAAGAUGCCUUUGGCUGCACGUCUAACCGGCCUCACAGUCCACGUGUAACCACUCCAGCCUAAGACCUCCACAUCCUGCUUCUUCACCUGCGAGAUUGUCUGAGACCAGUCACCCGGACAGCUGAUGAAACUGAGGAGUAUUUCUGUCUGUAAUAAACCCCUUUUGUGGGGAAAACUCACAAAAGCUGCGCCCCUGCCCAGUCAUGUGAAAUCCAUAGAAUAGGGCCUAAUUUAUUUAUUUCAAUUGAAUGAUUUUUUUGUAUGAACUGUAACUCAGUAAAAGUAUUGAAAUUGUUGCAUGUUGCAUUUAUAUUUUUGUUCAGUAUAUAAAACAGUAUGAAUAUCAAUGGAAGAAUGUACAUCUGCAAAUAUUACC